GCGGGUAUGGCGGAACUGGCAGACGCACCAGAUUUAGGUUCUGGCGGGAGACCGUGCAGGUUCGAUUCCUGUUACCCGUACCA
This 83-nucleotide transfer RNA is filed under the name Ruminiclostridium sp. Its description in RNAcentral is "tRNA-Leu". It matches the Rfam family "tRNA". From Rfam's summary of the family: Transfer RNA (tRNA) molecules are approximately 80 nucleotides in length. The record is from RNAcentral. Lineage: Bacteria; Bacillati; Bacillota; Clostridia; Eubacteriales; Oscillospiraceae. RNAcentral also lists the same sequence under 1 other name.